RNAcentral lists this ribosomal RNA (468 nucleotides) under uncultured bacterium. RNAcentral describes it as "partial 16S ribosomal RNA". It matches the Rfam family "Bacterial small subunit ribosomal RNA", at positions 28 to 507 of the family's 1533-position model. The record is from RNAcentral.
GACGAACGCUGGCGGCGUGCUUAACACAUGCAAGUCGAACGGAAAGGCCCUGCUUUUGUGGGGUUCUCGAGUGGCGAACGGGUGAGUAACACGUGAGUAACCUGCCCUUCACUUUGGGAUAACUUCAGGAAACUGGGGCUAAUACCGGAUAGGAGCUCCUGCUGCAUGGUGGGGGUUGGAAAGUUUCGGCGGUUGGGGAUGGACUCGCGGCUUAUCAGCUUGUUGGUGGGGUAGUGGCUUACCAAGGCUUUGACGGGUAGCCGGCCUGGGAGGGUGACCGGCCACAUUGGGACUAGGAUACGGCCCAGACUCCAACGGGGGGCAGCAGGGGGGAAUAUGGCACAAGGGGCGGAAGCCGGAUGCAGCAACGCCGCGGGCGGGAUGACGGCUUUCGGGUUGAAAACCGCUUUCGCCUGUGACGAAGCGUGAGUGACGGUAAUGGGUAAAGAAGCACCGGCUAACUACGUG